Molecule: ribosomal RNA, 619 nt
Filed under: Arthrobacter sp.
Lineage: Bacteria; Bacillati; Actinomycetota; Actinomycetes; Micrococcales; Micrococcaceae
Description: bacterial SSU rRNA
Rfam family: Bacterial small subunit ribosomal RNA
Source: RNAcentral
UAUACCAUGCAAGUCGUACCAGGUAACCAGUGCUUGCACCGGUGGAUUAGUGGCGAACGGGUGAGUAACACGUGAGUAACCUGCCCCUGACUUCGGGAUAAGCCCGGGAAACUGGGUCUAAUACCGGAUAUGACUUCCUGCUGCAUGGCAGGGGGUGGAAAGAUUUAUCGGUUGGGGAUGGACUCGCGGCCUAUCAGCUUGUUGGUGAGGUAAUGGCUCACCAAGGCGACGACGGGUAGCCGGCCUGAGAGGGUGACCGGCCACACUGGGACUGAGACACGGCCCAAACUCCUACGGGAGGCAGCAGUGGGGAAUAUUGCACAAUGGGCGAAAGCCUGAUGCAGCGACGCCGCGUGAGGGAUGACGGCCUUCGGGUUGUAAACCUCUUUCAGUAGGGAAGAAGCCCCUUUUGGGGGUGACGGUACUUGCAGAAGAAGCGCCGGCUAACUACGUGCCAGCAGCCGCGGUAAUACGUAGGGCGCAAGCGUUAUCCGGAAUUAUUGGGCGUAAAGAGCUCGUAGGCGGUUUGUCGCGUCUGCCGUGAAAGUCCGAGGCUCAACCUCGGAUCUGCGGUGGGUACGGGCAGACUAGAGUGAUGUAGGGGAGACUGGAAUUCCUG